AUUUUGCUUUUAUUGCAUCGUUGAUUCAUUGGAUGCGCGUAUGGUUUUGAUUAGGAAAGUUUCUUUAAGUAUUUUUAUUUUUUUUUCUUUAUUAACACUUGCACUAAGAAUGUUUUAUGAAUUGAAUGCAUUAGGAAGUAGUCUACUCUCGCUUAUUUUGUUUUACCGUCAAGCCUUUUCUUUUUAGUUCUUUUAAACUAUUGUUUCGGUGAUGGGUGGUGCUUUUAUCCACGAGCUUAAUUUGUUUUGUUCAUUUGCCUUUGGAUAGUAUGCAUGCUUAAUUAAUUACCGCUUCGUUAUUUUCUUUAGUGAUUUAUUUCUUUUGUUUUGAUGUAAUUCUAAUCUUCAUUUUAAUGUUG
RNAcentral lists this long non-coding RNA (359 nucleotides) under Vigna radiata. RNAcentral's name for it is "long non-coding RNA (VRAD_LNC015162)". The record is from RNAcentral. Lineage: Eukaryota; Viridiplantae; Streptophyta; Magnoliopsida; Fabales; Fabaceae.